UACGAAGGGGGCUAGCGUUGCUCGGAAUCACUGGGCGUAAAGGGUGCGUAGGCGGGUCUUUUAAGUCAGGGGUGAAAUCCUGGAGCUCAACUCCAGAACUGCCUUUGAUACUGAGGGUCUUGAGUUCGGGAGAGGUGAGUGGAACUGCGAGUGUAGAGGUGAAAUUCGUAGAUAUUCGCAAGAACACCAGUGGCGAAGGCGGCUCACUGGCCCGAUACUGACGCUGAGGCACGAAAGCGUGGGGAGCAAACAGG
Molecule: ribosomal RNA, 254 nt
Filed under: uncultured bacterium
Lineage: Bacteria
Description: partial 16S ribosomal RNA
Rfam family: Bacterial small subunit ribosomal RNA
Source: RNAcentral